Small nuclear RNA from Suncus etruscus (white-toothed pygmy shrew), 188 nucleotides. RefSeq annotates it as U2 spliceosomal RNA. The record is from RefSeq and is a predicted model, not a curated record. The transcript has a single exon. Lineage: Eukaryota; Metazoa; Chordata; Mammalia; Eulipotyphla; Soricidae.
AUCACUUAGCCUUUGGGCUAAGAUCAAUUGCAGUAUCUGUUCUUAUCAGUUUAAUAUCUGAUAUGUCAUCUAUCUGAUGACAAUAUAUUAAAUGGAUUUUUGGCACUAAGAAAUGGAAUAGGAGCUUGCUCCUUCCAUUCCACGCAUCGACCUGGUAUUGCAGUACCUCCAGGAAUGGUGCACCAAAA